RNAcentral lists this ribosomal RNA (497 nucleotides) under uncultured bacterium. RNAcentral's name for it is "partial 16S ribosomal RNA". It matches the Rfam family "Bacterial small subunit ribosomal RNA", at positions 28 to 507 of the family's 1533-position model. The record is from RNAcentral.
GAUGAACGCUGGCGGCGUGCCUAAUACAUGCAAGUCGAGCGAACAGACGAGGAGCUUGCUCCUCUGACGUUAGCGGCGGACGGGUGAUUAACACGUGGAUAACCUACCUAUAAGACUGGGAUAACUUCGGGAAACCGGAGCUAAUACCGGAUAAUAUAUUGAACCGCAUGGUUCAAUAGUGAAAGACGGUUUUGCUGUCACUUAUAGAUGGAUCCGCGCCGCAUUAGUUAGUUGGUAAGGUAACGGCUUACCAAGGCAACGAUGCGUAGCCGACCUGAGAGGGUGAUCGGACACACUGGAACUGAGACACGGUCCAGACUCCUACGGGAGGCAGCAGUAGGGAAUCUUCCGCAAUGGGCGAAAGCUUGACGGAGCAACGCCGCGUGAGUGAUGAAGGUCUUCGGAUCGUAAAACUCUGUUAUUAGGGAAGAACAAAUGUGUAAGUAACUAUGCACGUCUUGACGGUACCUAAACAGAAAGCCACGGCUAACUACGUG